Molecule: ribosomal RNA, 640 nt
Filed under: uncultured Roseateles sp.
Lineage: Bacteria; Pseudomonadati; Pseudomonadota; Betaproteobacteria; Burkholderiales; Sphaerotilaceae
Description: bacterial SSU rRNA
Rfam family: Bacterial small subunit ribosomal RNA
Source: RNAcentral
CCGUAAACGAUGAGUGCUAAGUGUUAGGGGGUUUCCGCCCCUUAGUGCUGCAGCUAACGCAUUAAGCACUCCGCCUGGGGAGUACGACCGCAAGGUUGAGACUCAAAGGAAUUGACGGGGACCCGCACAAGCGGUGGAGCAUGUGGUUUAAUUCGAAGCAACGCGAAGAACCUUACCAAAUCUUGACAUCCUCUGACCCCUCUAGAGAUAGAGUUUUCCCCUUCGGGGGACAGAGUAACAGGUGGUGCAUGGUUGUCGUCAGCUCGUGUCGUGAGAUGUUGGGUUAAGUCCCGCAACGAGCGCAACCCUUAAGCUUAGUUGCCAUCAUUAAGUUGGGCACUCUAAGUUGACUGCCGGUGACAAACCGGAGGAAGGUGGGGAUGACGUCAAAUCAUCAUGCCCCUUAUGAUUUGGGCUACACACGUGCUACAAUGGACAAUACAAAGGGCAGCGAAACCGCGAGGUCAAGCAAAUCCCAUAAAGUUGUUCUCAGUUCGGAUUGUAGUCUGCAACUCGACUAUAUGAAGCUGGAAUCGCUAGUAAUCGUAGAUCAGCAUGCUACGGUGAAUACGUUCCCGGGUCAUGUACACACCGCCCGUCACACCACGAGAGUUUGUAACACCCGAAGCCGGUGGAGUAA